Mus musculus (house mouse) is the source of this 763-nucleotide long non-coding RNA. RefSeq annotates it as predicted gene, 36260. NCBI's taxonomy places the organism in Eukaryota, Metazoa, Chordata, Mammalia, Rodentia, Muridae. The transcript has 4 exons. The record is from RefSeq and is a predicted model, not a curated record.
CAACAACAACAACAAAAACCCAUCGUUCUUUAUCAGAACACUCUAAACGUUCAUUUGCUUCAGUAUCGUUGUGCCUGGGGUGAAGUCCUUGAAGAUUCUGGUGCUGAGAGUGUCAAUGAAAUACCCUUUGGCAUUAAGCGCUCUGCCUUGAAUCCUGAUUGUGCCACCUGAAAGGAAAGGAACGGGAGUUCCUUAACGGCGUAAUAAACCAGAAGAACCGAAGGGGAGAACCCGCUUGUUCUGUGAAGAAGAUCGCUCCUAGUUAAACAAAGAAAUUUGGGGUCGUCUGCUUUUCAUGGAAAUCUCCUACAUAUGGCCUUUGAAAUUUGUCACUGAAGAUGGGUUCCGCUCUAAGGAGUUUCCUUGCAAACAUUUUACUUAAAGAGGGAAAACAGUAUACUACGCCCUUUCUUACCGGAAGCAUGCCAACUGCUGUGAGCCAGAGGGGUCAAGGACACCCCAAGAAAACCUACAGGGGCAACUAAUCUGGACCCAUAGGGCUUCACAGAGACUCAACCGACAACAAGAGCUCCUGCUUGGAUCUGGCCUAGGCCCUCAAGUUGAUGAAACCAAGUUGAUGGGCCACAACCUUGAGUAACUGAAGUUUCUCUCAGACACCUCUUACCUGACUGCUUGGCUCCCAUGGUCAUCCCUGUGGCUAGACAUAGCAAACGACACUCCUGGGCUCCCACAUGGCAAGAUGAAGCUGGUGGAGACAAUAGGGAUGAGAGAUCGCUGUCAGAUGAGAACUCCAUUCUUAGUC